Molecule: unclassified non-coding RNA, 410 nt
Filed under: uncultured Bacteroidota bacterium
Lineage: Bacteria; Pseudomonadati; Bacteroidota
Description: uncultured Bacteroidetes bacterium partial 16S-23S ribosomal RNA intergenic spacer
Rfam family: tRNA (bases 90-163)
Source: RNAcentral
CCUCCUUUCUAGAGAAAGAUGGUGAGUUACAAAAGGUAUAUUUUACUCUUUGCUGUUAAUUUUAAAGUAAAGAAAUAUUAAGCUAUUAUAGUCUCGUAGCUCAGCUGGUUAGAGCGCUACACUGAUAAUGUAGAGGUCGGCAGUUCGAGUCUGCCCGAGACUACAAAUACUUAGUAUUUAAAGGAAAUUCUAGAAGUUGAAGUAAUUAGCAGACUAAUUACAGCUCACUAAUUACUAACUACUAGUAAAAGGGGGAUUAGCUCAGCUGGCUAGAGCGCUUGCCUUGCACGCAAGAGGUCAUCGGUUCGACUCCGAUAUUCUCCACAGAUGAAUACUUUAAAAGGUAGAAUCGAAAAUAAGCAAAACGUAAAAAGUUUACUUUUUAAAUUUUUGUGAUUGAGAUUUUUUUA